This is a long non-coding RNA of Scatophagus argus, 354 nucleotides long. RefSeq lists it as uncharacterized. Lineage: Eukaryota; Metazoa; Chordata; Actinopteri; Scatophagidae. The transcript is spliced from 2 exons. The record is from RefSeq and is a predicted model, not a curated record.
GCAGGCCACGUCAUCACAAAGUGUCCGACGCAGUGAGAAGGGGCAUCCUUCACAGAAAUUCAAAAUUAAAAUGGGCGUUGGUUCACUCAGAAGAUGCUGGACAGUCUGUACAACUUUACCUCGUCCUUCGCCGUGUCGCAGGCCCAGAUGACCCCGACCCCCACGGAGACAUUCAAUCCCGUCCAGCUGCAUCCUCAAAUGGUAUGAAAACUCUCAGAGGAGGAUGGCACAGAACCCGAACUUCUGGAAAAACUGAUGAAAGCCGAGACACUGGAGGAGAACAUGAGACCACAGAGGGAACCUGGACAGUUUCCACAGAGCCUCACGGUUCAAAUAAAAGUCUCUUUUCAUCCA